This is a non-coding RNA of Pelobates cultripes (western spadefoot toad), 457 nucleotides long. The record is from the annotation of a GenBank genome assembly. NCBI's taxonomy places the organism in Eukaryota, Metazoa, Chordata, Amphibia, Anura, Pelobatidae.
AUAUUUUGUGUGUGUUUGUGUGUAUGUAUGUUUCUUUGUAUGUAUGUCUUGUGUGUGUGUCUUUGUAUGUCUUGUGUGUGUGUGUCUGUCUGUAUGUCAUGUGUGUGUCUAUGUAUGUAUGUCUUGUGUGUGUGUGUGUGUGUCUAUAUGUAUAUAUGUGUGUAUGUAUGUGUGUCUUGUCUUUGUAUGUAUGUGUGUAUGUGUCUAUGUAUGUCUUAUGUGUGUGUCUUUGUAUGUGUACCUGUCUGUAUGUGUCUUGUGUGUGUGUGUGUCUGUAUUUAUGUGUGCGUGUGUCUGUAUGUAUGUGUGCCUGUCUGUAUGUGUCUUGUGUGUGCGUGUGUAUGUCUGUAUGUGUGCCUGUCUGUUUUUCUGUAGGUGUAUGUAUGUAUGUAUGUAUGUGUCUUUUUAUGUGUGUGUGUGUGUGUGUGUAUGUAUGUGUGCCUGUCUGUUAUAGUGG